UGGGGUGUCGCCAAGUGGUAAGGCACUGGUUUCUGGUACCAGCAUUCGGGGGUUCGAAUCCCUCCACCCCAGCCA
This 75-nucleotide transfer RNA is filed under the name Candidatus Saccharibacteria bacterium RIFCSPHIGHO2_01_FULL_45_15. RNAcentral's name for it is "tRNA-Gln". It matches the Rfam family "tRNA". Rfam says of the family: Transfer RNA (tRNA) molecules are approximately 80 nucleotides in length. Their secondary structure includes four short double-helical elements and three loops (D, anti-codon, and T loops). RNAcentral also lists the same sequence under 15 other names. The record is from RNAcentral. Lineage: Bacteria; Candidatus Saccharimonadota.